GCCGAGCUCAGUCACGAGAGCUUGUCACCCAUGUGGGGGCAUCAAGGUGGUGUGGAUGUUUGGUGCGGACUCUGGGCCUGGGCGGCCCUGUGUUGUGACCUUGUCGGCUUGCCCGUUCCAAGUUGGUAGUGGGCUGGGUGGCUGGGGCGAAAGUUUCGGCCUCUCAGGCCCUGAAGCGGCAGGCACCACGUUAGGCUGGUUUCACAGAGCAGCGUUUACUGCCCGCUUCCAACGGUGGAAGGAUGACAGGCCGCUGCACCAUGGGCCCACUCUGGCCUAGGGCCCCUCCAUAACAAACCACCAUUUUU
Non-coding RNA from Triticum aestivum (bread wheat), 308 nucleotides. Lineage: Eukaryota; Viridiplantae; Streptophyta; Magnoliopsida; Poales; Poaceae. The record is from Rfam.